Non-coding RNA from Dasypus novemcinctus (nine-banded armadillo), 68 nucleotides. Lineage: Eukaryota; Metazoa; Chordata; Mammalia; Cingulata; Dasypodidae. The record is from Ensembl.
GUGGACAUAGUUUACCCAAAACUCUAGAUUGUGAAUCUAGCAACAGAACAUAAAAAUUCUUGUUCACC